Non-coding RNA from Pelobates cultripes (western spadefoot toad), 216 nucleotides. Lineage: Eukaryota; Metazoa; Chordata; Amphibia; Anura; Pelobatidae. The record is from the annotation of a GenBank genome assembly.
GCAAGAUGGCUGCGGAGGGGGGCGCCCGGAGCAGCUGCGGAGGCCACAGCCCAGGGAUGGAAGCAGAGGAGACCCCCACGGGACCUGCGGGCCUGGCAGGAGCCAGCUGCGAUGUAUCCCACCUACGCAUGAGGCAGGUAUCGGUAGCUCUACCCCCCAUGGGCGGAGGGCCCAGGGACCACGGGCAACAUCACCCUAAGGCAGUGCAUCACACGG